GUGCUCGCUUUGGCAGCACAUAUACUAAAAUUGGAACGAUACAAAGAUUAGCAUGGCCCCUGCACAAGGAUGACAGGCAAAUUCAUGAAGCGUUCCAUAUUUUU
Small nuclear RNA from Monodon monoceros (narwhal), 104 nucleotides. Lineage: Eukaryota; Metazoa; Chordata; Mammalia; Artiodactyla; Monodontidae. The record is from Ensembl.